CGGCGGACGGGUGAGUAAUGCCUAGGAAUCUGCCUGGUAGUGGGGGACAACGUUUCGAAAGGAACGCUAAUACCGCAUACGUCCUACGGGAGAAAGCAGGGGACCUUCGGGCCUUGCGCUAUCAGAUGAGCCUAGGUCGGAUUAGCUAGUUGGUGAGGUAAUGGCUCNCCAAGGCGACGAUCCGUAACUGGUCUGAGAGGAUGAUCAGUCACACUGGAACUGAGACACGGUCCAGACUCCUACGGGAGGCAGCAGAC
Molecule: ribosomal RNA, 257 nt
Filed under: uncultured Pseudomonas sp.
Lineage: Bacteria; Pseudomonadati; Pseudomonadota; Gammaproteobacteria; Pseudomonadales; Pseudomonadaceae
Description: partial 16S ribosomal RNA
Rfam family: Bacterial small subunit ribosomal RNA
Source: RNAcentral